Molecule: transfer RNA, 83 nt
Filed under: Gammaproteobacteria bacterium
Lineage: Bacteria; Pseudomonadati; Pseudomonadota; Gammaproteobacteria
Description: tRNA-Thr
Source: RNAcentral
GCGAGUUGUAGGCGAUGGUGGGCGCCAGGUCACUGGUGAUGUCCACCAGGUCCGUCACCUGGAUCGGUGCCGGGUAGCUGGCG